UAGGCUGCAACCCGCCUGCAUGAAGUUGGAAUUGCUAGUAAUCGCGGAUCAGCAUGCCGCGGUGAAUACGUUCCCGGGGAUUGUACACACCGCCCGUCACACCAUGAGAGUCGGGAACACCCAAAGUCCGUAGUCUAACCGCAAGGAGGACGCGGCCUAAGGUGGGUUCGAUAAUUGGGGUGAAGUCGUAACAAGGUAGC
This 200-nucleotide ribosomal RNA is filed under the name uncultured bacterium. Its description in RNAcentral is "partial 16S ribosomal RNA". It matches the Rfam family "Bacterial small subunit ribosomal RNA", at positions 1301 to 1500 of the family's 1533-position model. The record is from RNAcentral.